CUUUAAUUACUAUAGCUUUCACAAUCAAAUGAGUAGGGAAGUUGCUUUUCUUCAGUUUUUUAUGGUCUUCAACGACUGAUUAAUCUGUCACGCCGGACUGUCCGUUGCACUGAAGCAAACAGACGGAUUGGCGCUGGACCUCCCAGGCAAACUGGUUCUCGAGCUGCCAGACUCUCAGCCUGCAUGGCCCCGGGUUUUCUCACCAGGGCCAGGGAGGAGCUUGGCCAACGGAUCAGUCUCCUGGUGAGCCAUGUCCGCAUCAUCAGCAGAGGACAAGCAGCUCUACCACUUUGCAGCAGACCUCAUGCUGCCCUGCAUUGCUUACUGGUCUUGCUCCCAUCGCCUGGAGCUGGGUUGCUGACCUGUGAGAGGCGCAUUUCUGUCAUGGCUUACAUUAGCACAGCACUGUACCGGCAAAGCACACAAUCUAUCAGUGCUAGAGAUUUUGUGCCCCGCAGAGAGCCAUAAUGUAUAAAUCAAAAUCAAAUCACCUUGAUUAGAUCAGACGUCAAUGAAAUUGGGCUGCAGUGGUGUUUUUGUUCAAAAUACAUAGAGGUCAGGUGGGUUGGAGAUUCUAAAUUGUUCAUAGGUAUUAAUGUGAGUAUCAGUCUAGACAGGUAGUCUGUGCACGAUGUCUCCCAGUCUCGUGUGCUGGGAUAGGUUGAUGCCCCCUGUGACCCCGAAAAGGAGAAAAGUUAAGUAAUAGAAAAUAUUAGACCAAUUAGAAAAUUCUCAGACCAACAACUUCAACUUGGAAGUGUCAAACAGAAAAAAUAAACAAAUGCAAAACAGAGAUUUUAGCAUUAACAGCAACCUGCAGCAGUAUUACAUCAGUCAUAGCUGCAAAACAUCAUAAAACAAAGUGAGAUUCAUAAUCCAUUAAUAUUUCAUUAUGACUCAAACAUUUCCGGAUGUAACACUUUGAAGAGGUACAUUAGCAAGUGCUCACCAUAAAUACACACCGACAGCACAACAUGUACAGGAGUGUCUGAACAAAAAACAAAAUCAUGUUUUUUUCAUGCUUUAACGAAUAAAAGAACGAGAUGGCAUGCACCCGGCUGGUGUUCUGGAAAUAAAGACUUCACUGACUAUA
Long non-coding RNA from Siniperca chuatsi (mandarin fish), 1093 nucleotides. RefSeq lists it as uncharacterized. Lineage: Eukaryota; Metazoa; Chordata; Actinopteri; Centrarchiformes; Sinipercidae. The transcript has 2 exons. The record is from RefSeq and is a predicted model, not a curated record.